This 700-nucleotide ribosomal RNA is filed under the name Oceanospirillaceae bacterium ACEMC 18-7. RNAcentral describes it as "partial 16S ribosomal RNA". Lineage: Bacteria; Pseudomonadati; Pseudomonadota; Gammaproteobacteria; Oceanospirillales; Oceanospirillaceae. The record is from RNAcentral.
UCGUUUACGGCGUGGACUACCAGGGUAUCUAAUCCUGUUUGCUCCCCACGCUUUCGCAUCUGAGCGUCAGUCUUUGUCCAGGGGGCCGCCUUCGCCACCGGUAUUCCUUCAGAUCUCUACGCAUUUCACCGCUACACCUGAAAUUCUACCCCCCUCUACAAGACUCUAGCCUGCCAGUUCCAAAUGCUAUUCCGAGGUUGAGCCCCGGGCUUUCACAUCUGGCUUAACAAGCCGCCUGCAUGCGCUUUACGCCCAGUAAUUCCGAUUAACGCUCGCACCCUCCGUAUUACCGCGGCUGCUGGCACGGAGUUAGCCGGUGCUUCUUCUGUUGCUAACGUCAAACACAUACGCUAUUAACGUAUACGCCUUCCUCACAACUGAAAGUGCUUUACAACCCGAAGGCCUUCUUCACACACGCGGCAUGGCUGCAUCAGGGUUUCCCCCAUUGUGCAAUAUUCCCCACUGCUGCCUCCCGUAGGAGUCUGGACCGUGUCUCAGUUCCAUUGUGGCUGAUCAUCCUCUCAGACCAGCUAGAGAUCGUCGCCUUGGUGAGCUCUUACCUCACCAACUAGCUAAUCUCACCUGGGCUAAUCCUGACGCGAGAGGCCCGAAGGUCCCCCUCUUUGCUCCGAAGAGAUUAUGCGGUAUUAGCCAUCGUUUCCAAUGGUUAUCCCCCACAUCAGGGCAUAUUCCCAGGCAU